Molecule: ribosomal RNA, 512 nt
Filed under: uncultured bacterium
Lineage: Bacteria
Description: bacterial SSU rRNA
Rfam family: Bacterial small subunit ribosomal RNA
Source: RNAcentral
AGUUGAUCCUGGCUCAGGAUGAACGCUAGCGACAGGCCUAACACAUGCAAGUCGAGGGGCAGCGCGGAGUAGCAAUACUUGGCGGCGACCGGCGCACGGGUGAGUAACACGUAUGCAACCAACCCAUAACAGGGGGAUAACCCGGAGAAAUCCGGACUAAUACCGCAUAAGACCACGAUAUCGCAUGAUAUAGAGGUCAAAUAUUUAUAGGUUAUGGACGGCAUGCGUCUGAUAGCUGGUUGGCGGGGUAACGGCCCACCAAGGCAUCGAUCAGUAGGGGUUCUGAGAGGAAGGUCCCCCACAUUGGAACUGAGACACGGUCCAAACUCCUACGGGAGGCAGCAGUGAGGAAUAUUGGUCAAUGGGCGAAAGCCUGAACCAGCCAUGUCGCGUGAAGGAUAGAAGGUCCUAUGGAUUGUAAACUUCUUUUGCAGGAGGGUAAAGUGAGCUACGUGUAGUUCAUUGCAAGUACCCUGCGAAUAAGCAUCGGCUAACUCCGUGCCAGCAGCAGC